GAUGAACGCUGGCGGCGUGCCUAAUACAUGCAAGUCGAGCGAACAGACGAGGAGCUUGCUCCUCUGACGUUAGCGGCGGACGGGUGAGUAACACGUGGAUAACCUACCUAUAAGACUGGGAUAACUUCGGGAAACCGGAGCUAAUACCGGAUAAUAUAUUGAACCGCAUGGUUCAAUAGUGAAAGACGGUUUUGCUGUCACUUAUAGAUGGAUCCGCGCCGCAUUAGCUAGUUGGUAAGGUAACGGCUUACCAAGGCAACGAUGCGUAGCCGACCUGAGAGGGUGAUCGGCCACACGGGAACUGAGACACGGUCCAGACGCCUACGGGAGGCAGCAGUAGGGAAUCUGCCGCAAUGGGCGAAAGCCUGACGGAGCAGCGCCGCGUGAGUGAUGAAGGUCUUCGGAUCGUAAAACUCUGUUAUUAGGGAAGAACAAAUGUGUAAGUAACUAUGCACGUCUUGACGGUACCUAAUCAGAAAGCCACGGCUAACUACGUG
RNAcentral lists this ribosomal RNA (497 nucleotides) under uncultured bacterium. RNAcentral describes it as "partial 16S ribosomal RNA". It matches the Rfam family "Bacterial small subunit ribosomal RNA", at positions 28 to 507 of the family's 1533-position model. The record is from RNAcentral.